This 5981-nucleotide long non-coding RNA is filed under the name Chlamydomonas reinhardtii. RNAcentral describes it as "long non-coding RNA (CREI_LNC000465)". The record is from RNAcentral. Lineage: Eukaryota; Viridiplantae; Chlorophyta; Chlorophyceae; Chlamydomonadales; Chlamydomonadaceae.
UCUUUUGCUUGGUGUCGUCCACUAUGGCUUUCCUCAUCAUUCUGCGCCUCGGGCCCUUUACUUGCAACCUCGCGACAGUCCUUUGUCUAUGGAGUGGUGCAAAGGCGCACCCGUGCCUGCUGGCAGCGUCAACUACCGGCGGGGGGAGCCCGCCGCCGACGGCGGUAGAGGGCGGCCGUCUUGGAAGCGAAGGCCUCCAUGUCCGCGCGUUCGAGCGGGUUGGGUGGUGGUGUGGCCUCGUCGUACUUCCACAGGCUGUUGCGUGACUUGGCCACAGUCAGCGCGUGGAUGAGGGACGCCAAUCCCGCCUGGGCUGCUGUCUGUGCGUCUGUUUUUGGGCUGAGCCCCCCGAGCGAAGCGAUCCAGGGGGGGGCGAAGCCCCCCAGGAUUGCCCCUGUCCGUGCCUGCCUGCCUGCCUGCCUGCCUGCCUGCCUGCCGGUGCCUGCCUGCGUCGACAAAAAGUGCCAAACUGGCACAAACCGCGAGCGCUACGUAAUAUUACUUGCUAUUCCCUAUUGUAGAAAAAUAGGCAGCAGGUAAAACUCGGCCGGAGCGAGAAGCGACCUCGCGCGUCCAUGGACUUUAAUUGACUGGCGACUGUGGCGACUCGUUGCGAGGUAAAGGGCCCGAGGCGCAGAAUGGGGCUCGUGUACAGGUAGCCGGGUAGCCAGCAAGGUUCACACUGUACUCCUGCCCCCUCCCUCCCCAGGUGUGUGCGAAGUGCGGGCGGCGCUUACUCGGCAACGGGCAGCGCUGCCUGCAGGCGGUCGUACCAUGGGGGGGCUUACGUGCUCACCAAGUCCAAGUGUGCAACCACUGCGGGACGGUGUGGGUGAGUCCACUUUGUGGGCGGGCGGCUGGCUGGGCGAUGGAUGGGUGGCUGGGUGGCGGCUCAGUGGGGCUCAGUGGGUGAUGGCUGGCUGGGUGACGGCUCAGUGGGGCUCAGUGGGGCUCAGUGGGGCGCAGUCGUGGGCUCAGUGGGGCUCAGUGGGUGAUGGCUGGGUGACGGCUGGGUGACGGCUCAGUCGUGGGCUCAGUGGGACUCACUCACUCUACCCUCCCGACGGUGCAGGGACGUGACGUCAACUCCGCAACCAACAUCCGGCACGCGCUGGUGGAAAUGCUGCUGGGGCACAAGCGACCUGCAUCGCUGCAGACUGGCGGCGGCGGCGGCGGCGGCGGCGGCAGCGGCGGCAGCGGCGGCGGCGGCGGCGGCAGCGGCGGCGGCGGCAGCGGCAGCGGCGGCGGCGCGUGCGCGCAUCUUGGUAGCGGAGGGGGCGGGAAAGGCCACGUGGAGGAGGAGAGCGCAGCGCCGCCCAAGAAGCGGCGCAAGCGCGCAGGCUGAGGAGCCGGCUGGCGGUGUCUAGGUAGCGGUCCGCGGUGGGGCUGGCAGGGCAUGCGUUGCGGCAUGACAAGUAGUGCGGCUGUUGACAACUGUGCUACGUCUGGCUGCGGUUGGCUCUGCUGUGGCAUCGUGAUUGCUAGGCACCCAGUUUGGCUAUGUGCCUGUGGAAACCGACCCCGGCUAUGUCCGGGCGAUGAGGUUGUUCGGCCUCAGACUGUGGAGGGGCUCAGCCCCUUUUCCCGUGACCGGGGAACACUUGUCUAUGGAGUGCACCUUCUUUCCGCGACACCCCGUGAAAAGCUGUUGCCACUAAUUUCUCAGGAUGUACCUUGGUUGGGUAUGGAUGCGGAUGUUACAGAGGGGACAGUCCCAGCUCCCGAAGACGCCGAGCCAUCACAUGCUAUCAGGGCCCAACCCCGACUUUGCUGCAAACCCUCCCGCGGGCAAAGUCCGUGUGACUCCGCGCACAGUGAGUCCUAGCCAAGCCUCAACCCGCCAGAGCCCCACCGCUGUGCCUCAACGCCACAAGCCUAGGCACAGGAGUGCCGGGAAACGUCUAGGCCGCAGGACACACGCACAGCGCACGCACUAACCAGGGCGCAAGCGUCCAGGUACUAGAACGGUCGCCCACACGUGCAUCCUGCCCACACACAGAGCCACCAACCACGCACAACCUCUCACGGCGAGGGGGGCGGGGAAUCAGCGUCAUACGGCAAGCGCAAAACCAUGCCGUCACCAACAGCCCGAGACAUGAAGGGAUGCGCAAACGGCACAGCGUCCCAACCCUUUGGCCUGAUACCCAAAGUCACAAACGUCUGGAGACGACCCCAGAAGUCAGCUACGACGGCAAGUCCAAUGCUCAGCACCCGGGCCGACGGCAGCUUCGCUCGCGCCGCCAACCCGGCCAUAACCACACGCUGCCGACCAAAGUCCAGGGCAGACAUAGCAGCGAGACACACCACAUCCCACACAGGUGGCGCAAGCCCCGCAGGCGGGCGCACUAACCACAACUCCUCACGAGAGAAGGCACUUAGAGCCUCCUCCGGCAGGAAACCCAUAGCCAUCCCCAUACUUUCCCGCAGUGACAGCGCAACAGUGCAGUCCCAAAACCAGUGACGCCGGUCCCCAUCCUGCAUGUCCACCCCACACGCCCAACACGGGUCAACAGUAACGCCUCGCGCCCGCUCGCUAGCAUGCCGUGGAAACGCCCAGCAAGCGUUGGCGGCCACACGCCACAGUGCUUCCUUAUGAUGAUUCUCCCAUUUCAGCGACCACAAGCGGGCCAAGGUGCACACGAAGGCCCCCGCCGCCAGGGCAGCCCCCACCCCCGACACACCCGCAUCGCACACAUACUGCAAAUGCUUAGCCUUCAGGGCGGCUAACUGUGGAGCCAUUUGUAGCACGGUCCCCGCCUUCACCGUAUAGGCAGUGAGCAGGAUGGGCGGCCCCCCGCACUGCAACCAUCCGAGUCCCCGCACCACCCGUUGCACCGACGCCGCCGUAGCACUCACGACGUCGGCCACCGGGAGCGGCAGCGCGGCGGCAGGCCCCCGAGCCAGCUGGGCCGCACGCGCGGCGGCAGCCCAGCCAGCGGGAAGAAGGGCCACCGCCGCCGCAAACCGGUCGGCCGCCUCUUGAGGCGACGCCGGCCCCGGCAGGGGCGACGGCAGGCGUGCCCGCGUGCUCCAGUGCAGCACCCGCCUCCACACAGCAGUCACAUACAUAUCCGCACUCGCUUCACCAGACCGGGAGCCCUCCGCCCAAGGGCUUGUCAAUGCCUGCCGCAGUUCGUUCAGGCCGUCAUGCGCUGCAACCAGCUGGCCCACACACGCCAGUCCCGGCAGAGCGAACAAAUCCGCGAAAGCCAAUUCCCACGUGCGGCCGUCCACACACAGCGCCGGGUUAGCCCACAACGGCACAUGACUCACCCACGCGCCCGGCUCGGGCGGCGCCACAAGAGUCACCGCGGGCAAUGCAGUCAUGGCUUUCAGCAGGCGCGCAAACGGCUUGCCCGCCGGGGUGAGCGGCUUAUUCAGCACACGGUCCGCGGCCCCCCGCACCAAGAAACGCAGGGGCGUUGCCGCCGGGUGCACCUGGCGCAGCCACGCCGCCGCGACCCGGGUCCACGGGGGCACGUACGGCAGCAGAUCACACACACCCAACACACACCGGACCGCGAGACCGGCUUGCCGCGCUUUCACAUGCGGCACCAGCGGCAACAGGCCCGCCCCCCCCCACCGCCGGAGGCAGUUGCAUAAGGUCAAUGGAGAGGCCAACCGGGCGUGCAUGUGGGCUGGCAUCAAACUGGGCCGGCGACAGUCGCCGAUCCACCACCGCCGCCACCCUGGCUAGCAGCCGGUCCACAACGUACAGUUGGGGGAGACCCGCAAAUUCCAAAUGAUACAGGACCUUGCCCAAAGCAUAAGCCGACGCCGCGGCCGCCCGACCAAACAUGGACACGGGUAUGCGCGCGAUUUUGCUCAGCACCCCCAUCACGGCCUCAAACGUAAUUGGUGGGGAGCAUGCGCCCCAAUCCCCGUAAUGCACCCCUAGUGACUUGGCCGCCGGCACCACACGCCAGCCAGGGGGCAGGGGCGGGCCAGCCAUGCCGGCCGGCAGGGCGCCAGCACCGCCGACCGUCCCCAUCACCAUCAGUUCAACUUUAGUCAUAUUUAACCGUUGUCCAGACGCCCGCCGAAACACAUCCAUGUCCGCCAGGAACCCCGGCACCGCCUGAAACCCCUCCAGAAACGGCGUGCAAUCAUCCGCAUACUGGGACGCCAGCACCGACGCAAGGUUAGCGAGCACACCAUGCCCCCGGCUGCGUAGCCAUGACAGAAGGGCUUGUGCCACAGCGAGGUAGAGCAACGGAGCCAACGGGCAGCCCUGCCGCACGCCCGCCAUCAACGGCACCCAUCCUGACACACGUCCAUUCACCAACGCCGCCCCACGUGUAUCAGUUAACAGGCGGGACACCCACGUAAGAAAGCCCGCCCCCACGCCCAUGCGCUCCAGACACGCGAGCAGAAAAGAGCGGUCCACCGUAUCAUACGCCUUGUAAAAGUCGAGGAAGGCCGCCACAGCCGGGGCCUUUUUGGCGGCUUUCAACAGGCCAGGAGUAAGUUGGAGCAAGAGGACGUUAUCGGCAAUGCGACGGUCCGUCAGAAACGCAGUUUGCUCAGGGUCUAUGACACGCCCAAACACCGGUUGCAGUCGCAAGCACAACACCCGGGCAAGGGUGCGGUAAUCGGUAUCCGUCAGCGUGAUGGGGCGAUAAUUAGAGGGCUCGGUAGGGUCGCCCGACUUAAAGAAGAAAGACCACACGCCAUCCAGGAGCCCGUCAGGCACCCCAGCCCCCUCCCCCACCGCCGUAAACACAUCCGCUAGGACCGGCGCAAAAACACUGUCAUAGUGUUGGUAUACGGUAACUCCACCGGUAUGCCGUCAGGGCCCGCCGCGCGCCCAGCCGGCGCAGCGGCUAGCGCCGCGCGCACCUCCGCCGCCGAGACCGCAACCCGCCCCAGCUGAUCCGCCUCUUCGGCUGUACACCGGCGCCCGUGCUGUUGCAGCGCAUCCAGGACUUGCGUGCGGGCAUCCGGAGCGGGCGGCGGCGCGGCACUGACGUCCCUCCAGUACCGCGCCAUCACCUGCCCCAUGACCGUCGGGUCGGAUGUAGUGGUGCCAUUGGGCUGUUUCAACUUGGCAAUCACGCGCGGCCCACCCGCCGGCCGCAGCAUGCGCGUGAGGAGAGGGCAGGGCUUCUCGCCGCCACGCAGCCACGCGUGGCGCGUACGUCGCGCCGCGCCGGCGGCCGCGGCCACGGCGGCCUCCGCCGCCGUGCACCGCGCCCGCACGGCCGCCUGCGCCGCCACCUGCACAUCACCGCCAGCCUCCACCGCGGCGGCAGCUGCUGCCGCCGCAUCAAGCGCGGCCGCCUCCCGCUGGCUGGCGGCCACACGCCUCGCAACAGCUUCCCGGCUCAGGCGGUUGGCGGACGUGGCGGCAGCCCGUUUAAGGGCCGGCCACCACUCCAGCAGCUCAACAGGAUCAGUAGGGCGUGCCGCCAGGGCCGUACCCAGCCAGGCACGGUAGUCACGAUCCAAGUCUUUGAAGUCCCGGAAACCGAGGUGGGCCCUGGGCAGGCUCCGAGCGGGUGGCGCGGCUUCAGGCGACGCCGCAAGGGCAACCGUCACAAGCAUAUGAUCGGAGGGCACCCCGGCGGCGACGCCGCACUCCAGGACCUGCGGUUCGAGGCCGCCACUGCACAGAAUGCGGUCCAGCCGACUCGCCCCGUGAGGGUGGAAGAAGGUACACACGCGGCGAGCCGGGUGGCGCCGCCGUAACACGUCAAUGAGGCCAGGGCACGCCGCCGCCAGCGCGGCGGCUGCGGGUCCGUCGCUGCGCGCCCGGCCAGUGACGGUGUCCAGCGCCACAUCUGCCACAAAGUUGAAGUCAGCUGCCAGGAGGUGCUCGCCCGAGCCCGACGCCCGAAGGCCCACCCACUCACGAAUGAAAGCCUGCUGCGCUGUGGAUGCCAGGGGAAAGUAGGCUGACGUCAGCGUGAAGGUGUGUCCACCUUGGUUGGGUAUGGCUGCUAGUAACGCGAGUGGCGUUAGUCACCGCUGCAAGCGGUGCU